AGUAAAGUCAGCUAACUAAGCUCUUGGGCCCAUACCCCAAAAAUGUUGGUUCAAGUCCUUCCUAUACUA
This 69-nucleotide transfer RNA is filed under the name Pangshura tentoria. RNAcentral describes it as "tRNA-Met". It matches the Rfam family "tRNA". From Rfam's summary of the family: Transfer RNA (tRNA) molecules are approximately 80 nucleotides in length. Their secondary structure includes four short double-helical elements and three loops (D, anti-codon, and T loops). Lineage: Eukaryota; Metazoa; Chordata; Testudines; Geoemydidae. RNAcentral also lists the same sequence under 1 other name. The record is from RNAcentral.